Molecule: long non-coding RNA, 957 nt
Organism: Cyprinus carpio carpio
Lineage: Eukaryota; Metazoa; Chordata; Actinopteri; Cypriniformes; Cyprinidae
Source: Ensembl
GUUUUUUGGGGGGGCCUUCCCUAAACUUGGAUCAGAUGAAAUAAGUCAUGAAUCAUCAAAUGAGACCAAGAGGACACCAAACUGAAAUGUGAAUGUAUCGUCAACACAAGCCUGCACAUGGAUCCACGUCGACUGGUUUGUGGAAGCUGCAUUAGCAUUACUGAGCCGCAGCGCCGCGGGAUCAAAGAGGCUUUGUCCUGUGAUGCGUGAGGGUCGUGCAGGUAUGGGACAGACGCGGCCUGACCCCAGACUACAGGGCAGCAGGGACACAAUCUGCUCCGAGACCCGCUCCUGUGCUCAUCGGCCACUGAACGAGAAGCUGCUCUGUGAAGAUACCACAGUGUCCCGAGGAGAGAUGGGAAGGCUGAUGCUGUGCCAUGUGGCGAGAGCAAAGAUGGCAGGAUUUCUUGUGUGAAAGUUGCGGCCUUCAUCCAGACGGCGCAAUUUACGCAGACUUAAUGGAACAAAAGAAAGUUUGGAAAGAAAGGAAGAUGGGAGGACCUCGAGACAAAAAGAGAAAAUGCAUGAUCACUUUGUCAUCUAUUGAAGCUCAUGAAAACACCGCCGAUCGCAGCUGCUCAGAGAGAGAAUAGCAGCACUUCCUGCAGUCGUCACGUCUGGAGAUGAAGCCGCGGACAGCAUGGAAUGAAGUUAGAUGCCUGAAAUGUCACUGAAAAAUGAAAGGGCAUGAGAGAGUGCCGCUGUGAGAACAAGAAAACAACACACAACACACAACAGAGCCAGUGAGAGCCAAUCACUUCGAGAUGUCAGAGAGCGACCGGGGAAAGCGUUUGGACCUCAGCGAUUAUGGUGAAGGCAAUCCCAUAAUGCACUGCGACAAGCUCAGUGAAACAAAAUCAACUAAGAUGAAAGCAGGAUUGCUCAGUAGGCUUUUCCACGGUGCUGAGAAAUGAAGUGAAUGGAGUUUAAGCAAACAGAGUCAGGUCUGCCUGCAGC